RNAcentral lists this ribosomal RNA (253 nucleotides) under uncultured bacterium. RNAcentral describes it as "partial 16S ribosomal RNA". It matches the Rfam family "Bacterial small subunit ribosomal RNA", at positions 524 to 776 of the family's 1533-position model. The record is from RNAcentral.
UACGGGGGGGGCAAGAGUUGUUCGGAAUUAUUGGGCGUAAAGGGCUCGUAGGCGGUUUGUCGCGUCGGGAGUGAAAACCCAGGGCUUAACUCUGGGCUUGCUUUCGAUACGGGCAGACUAGAGGUAUGCAGGGGAGAACGGAAUUCCUGGUGUAGCGGUGAAAUGCGCAGAUAUCAGGAGGAACACCAAUGGCGAAGGCAGCUCACUGGGACGAUACUGACGCUGAGACGCGAAAGCGUGGGGAGCAAACAGG